GACGAACGCUGGCGGCGAGCUUAACACAUGCAAGUCGAACGGAAAGGCCCUGCUUUUGUGGGGUGCUCGAGUGGCGAACGGGUGAGUAACACGUGAGUAACCUGCCCUUGACUUUGGGAUAACUUCAGGAAACUGGGGCUAAUACCGGAUAGGAGCUCCUGCUGCAUGGUGGGGGUUGGAAAGUUUCGGCGGUUGGGGAUGGACUCGCGGCUUAUCAGCUUGUUGGUGGGGUAGUGGCUUACCAAGGCUUUGACGGGUAGCCGGCCUGAGAGGGUGACCGGCCACAUUGGGACUGAGAUACGGCCCAGACUCCUACGGGAGGCAGCAGUGGGGAAUAUUGCACAAUGGGCGGAAGCCUGAUGCAGCAACGCCGCGUGCGGGAUGACGGCCUUCGGGUUGUAAACCGCUUUCGCCUGUGACGAAGCGUGAGUGACGGUAAUGGGUAAAGAAGCACCGGCUAACUACGUGCCAGCAGCCGCGGUGAUACGUAGGGUGCGAGCGUUGUCCGGAUUUAUUGGGCGUAAAGGGCUCGUAGGUGGUUGAUCGCGUCGGAAGUGUAAUCUUGGGGCUUAACCCUGAGCGUGCUUUCGAUACGGGUUGACUUGAGGAAGGUAGGGGAGAAUGGAAUUCCUGGUGGAGCGGUGGAAUGCGCAGAUAUCAGGAGGAACACCAGUGGCGAAGGCGGUUCUCUGGGCCUUUCCUGACGCUGAGGAGCGAUAGCGUGGGGAGCGAACAGGCUUAGAUACCCUGGUAGUCCACGCUGUAAACGGUGGGUACUAGGUGUGGGGUCCAUUCCACGGGUUCCGUGCCGUAGCUAACGCUUUAAGUACCCCGCCUGGGGAGUACGGCCGCAAGGCUAAAACUCAAAGGAAUUGACGGGGCCCCGCACAAGCGGCGGAGCAUGCGGAUUAAUUCGAUGCAACGCGUAGAACCUUACCUGGGUUUGACAUGGAUCGGGAGUGCUCAGAGAUGGGUGUGCCUCUUUUGGGGUCGGUUCACAGGUGGUGCAUGGCUGUCGUCAGCUCGUGUCGUGAGAUGUUGGGUUAAGUCCCGCAACGAGCGCAACCCUUGUUCACUGUUGCCAGCACGUUAUGGUGGGGACUCAGUGGAGACCGCCGGGGUCAACUCGGAGGAAGGUGGGGAUGACGUCAAGUCAUCAUGCCCCUUAUGUCCAGGGCUUCACGCAUGCUACAAUGGCUGGUACAGAGAGUGGCGAGCCUGUGAGGGUGAGCGAAUCUCGGAAAGCCGGUCUCAGUUCGGAUUGGGGUCUGCAACUCGACCUCAUGAAGUCGGAGUCGCUAGUAAUCGCAGAUCAGCAACGCUGCGGUGAAUACGUUCCCGGG
Molecule: ribosomal RNA, 1343 nt
Filed under: uncultured bacterium
Lineage: Bacteria
Description: 16S ribosomal RNA
Rfam family: Bacterial small subunit ribosomal RNA
Source: RNAcentral